RNAcentral lists this ribosomal RNA (253 nucleotides) under uncultured bacterium. RNAcentral describes it as "partial 16S ribosomal RNA". It matches the Rfam family "Bacterial small subunit ribosomal RNA", at positions 524 to 776 of the family's 1533-position model. The record is from RNAcentral. RNAcentral also lists the same sequence under 2 other names.
UACGGAGGAUCCGAGCGUUAUCCGGAUUUAUUGGGUUUAAAGGGUGCGUAGGCGGCCUUGUAAGUCAGGGGUGAAAGACGGUAGCUUAACUAUCGCAGUGCCUUUGAUACUGCAGGGCUUGAAUGUACUUGAGGUAGGCGGAAUGUGACAAGUAGCGGUGAAAUGCAUAGAUAUGUCACAGAACACCAAUUGCGAAGGCAGCUUACUAAAGUAUGAUUGACGCUGAGGCACGAAAGCGUGGGGAUCAAACAGG